This 772-nucleotide long non-coding RNA is filed under the name Panax ginseng (ginseng). RNAcentral's name for it is "long non-coding RNA (PGIN_LNC005887)". Lineage: Eukaryota; Viridiplantae; Streptophyta; Magnoliopsida; Apiales; Araliaceae. The record is from RNAcentral.
GCAGAAAUAUUGUUCUACUAAUAAGUUUGAUUAUUAAGGUACAGCUGUUUGGAUUGCAACACAGUUCCAUUCAAUACAAUUAAUUAAUUUGGGAAAAAAGAGUUGUUGAGUUUGAUUAUAUAUAGACAACAGAAGUGACACUCAUGCUGCCAAUUACAGUGCUCCCAAACUUACCUGCAUUCAGGUAGUAACAUUUAUAUGUGGACUUUAGUACAAUGAUACUAGGGAGGAGGGGAGAUAAAGAUGUUUAUGUGUAGCACUGACUAACAGGACCAUCCCAGAAGCAAUGCGAAAUGAAAAGGCAGAUGAGAACAAUGAACUGCCUCCAAGUGCUUACACAGCGUCCUUAAAAUUUCUCUCCAUUCUUGAGGAGAUCCACAUGGAUAGUUUGCAUAAUCUCCACAUCCGUCGUCUCCGAAUGGACCCACCCCAAUAUAUGGGGAUAAUCCUCCAUCAACCGACCAUAUCCCCUUGGUGCGAUUUCCUCUAAAAGGGGUUCAUAAAGAUCAGACAUCAUCUAUGGAUAUUAUCAUCAUGUCACUAUGUUGUUCAUGCUCGUUGCCUGAUAUCUAUUCUUGCAAGGAAAGAACACAAGUAUAUCAAAUUACUUAAGUGGGGUUUGGUUCACCAUAUAGAAAUUUGAUGUAAUGCAAUAGUCUACGUAAUGCAAUAGAGUUGUAAUGGUAAUAGGUCAUUACGACAUAUUUGUUUGGUUGGUUCUUGAUAUUUGUGUAGUAAUUGUAAUAUUAUUACAUUAUGUUCAAAAUUGUGU